AUUAGCUAGUUGGUGGUGUAACGGACCACCAAGGCGACGAUUGGUAGCCGAACUGAGAGGUUGAUCGGCCACAUUGGGACUGAGACACGGCCCAGACUCUUACGGGAGGCAGCAGUGGGGAAUAUUGCGCAAUGGGGGAAACCCUGACGCAGCAACGCCGCGUGAAGGAUGAAGGUUUUCGGAUUGUAAACUUCUUUGAUGAGGGAAGAUAAUGACGGUACCUCAAAAACAAGCCACGGCUAACUACGUGCCAGCAGCCGCGGUAAUACGUAGGUGGCGAGCGUUGUCCGGAAUUACUGGGUGUAAAGGGCGUGUAGGCGGGAAUGCAAGUCAGAUGUGAAAUUCCGGGGCUUAACCCCGGCGCUGCAUCUGAAACUGUGUUUCUUGAGUGCUGGAGAGGAAAGCGGAAUUCCUAGUGUAGCGGUGAAAUGCGUAGAUAUUAGGAGGAACACCAGUGGCGAAGGCGGCUUUCUGGACAGUAACUGACGCUGAGGCGCGAAAGCGUGGGGAGCAAACAGGAUUAGAUACCCUGGUAGUCCACGCUGU
Molecule: ribosomal RNA, 546 nt
Filed under: uncultured bacterium
Lineage: Bacteria
Description: bacterial SSU rRNA
Rfam family: Bacterial small subunit ribosomal RNA
Source: RNAcentral